GACAGCAACAUUAUGCUCGAGCUGUAACUCAAUUAAAAGCAAGGUGUCCAGAGGAAGGCAACGAGCAGAAGUCAAUUCCACAGGAUAUUUCAGAUCAGCCAGAUAGCUUUAAAGUUGCACAACAUACUGCAAAUAAAUGCUCUUCCAAGUCCAACAGAGAAUUAUCUCCAAAUUCUAAAAACAAAUUGCAAAGUACAGAUAACAGUCCAGCUUCAAAUACAAUUAGAAAUUCAUUCUCUGCACUCU
This 246-nucleotide long non-coding RNA is filed under the name Nicotiana benthamiana. RNAcentral describes it as "long non-coding RNA (NBEN_LNC023367)". The record is from RNAcentral. Lineage: Eukaryota; Viridiplantae; Streptophyta; Magnoliopsida; Solanales; Solanaceae.